Molecule: ribosomal RNA, 433 nt
Filed under: uncultured bacterium
Lineage: Bacteria
Description: partial 16S ribosomal RNA
Rfam family: Bacterial small subunit ribosomal RNA
Source: RNAcentral
AACGAACGCUGGCGGCAUGCCUAACACAUGCAAGUCGAACGAGACCUUCGGGUCUAGUGGCGCACGGGUGCGUAACGCGUGGGAACCUGCCUUUAGGUUCGGAAUAACUCAGAGAAAUUUGAGCUAAUACCGGAUGAUGUCUUCGGACCAAAGAUUUAUCGCCUUUAGAUGGGCCCGCGUUGGAUUAGCUAGUUGGUGGGGUAAAGGCCUACCAAGGCGACGAUCCAUAGCUGGUCUGAGAGGACGAUCAGCCACACUGGGACUGAGACACGGCCCAGACUCCUACGGGAGGCAGCAGUGGGGAAUAUUGGACAAUGGGCGAAAGCCUGAUCCAGCAAUGCCGCGUGAGUGAUGAAGGCCUUAGGGUUGUAAAGCUCUUUUACCCGAGAUGAUAAUGACAGUAUCGGGAGAAUAAGCUCCGGCUAACUCCGUG